This 279-nucleotide ribosomal RNA is filed under the name uncultured bacterium. RNAcentral describes it as "partial 16S ribosomal RNA". It matches the Rfam family "Bacterial small subunit ribosomal RNA", at positions 506 to 784 of the family's 1533-position model. The record is from RNAcentral.
UGCCAGCCGCCGCGGUAAUACGGAGGGUGCAAGCGUUAAUCGGAAUUACUGGGCGUAAAGCGUACGUAGGCGGUUUGAUAAGUCGGAUGUGAAAGCCCUGGGCUCAACCUGGGACGUGCAUUCGAUACUGUCAGACUAGAGUCUGGAAGAGGUUGGCGGAAUUCCCGGUGUAGCGGUGAAAUGCGUAGAUAUCGGGAGGAACAUCAGUGGCGAAGGCGGCUGACUGGUUCAAGACUGACGCUGAGGUACGAAAGCGUGGGGAGCAAACAGGAUUAGAUA